UACGGGGGGGGCAAGCGUUGUUCGGAAUUACUGGGCGUAAAGGGCUCGUAGGUGGCCAACUAAGUCAGACGUGAAAUCCCUCGGCUUAACCGGGGAACUGCGUCUGAUACUGGAUGGCUUGAGAUUGGGAGAGGGAUGCGGAAUUCCAGGUGUAGCGGUGAAAUGCGUAGAUGUCUGGAGGAACACCGGUGGCGAAGGCGGCAUCCUGGACCAACACUGACACUGAGGAGCGAAAGCCAGGGGAGCAAACGGG
Molecule: ribosomal RNA, 253 nt
Filed under: uncultured bacterium
Lineage: Bacteria
Description: partial 16S ribosomal RNA
Rfam family: Bacterial small subunit ribosomal RNA
Source: RNAcentral